UAGUGGCGAACGGGUGAGUAACACGUGGGCAAUCUGCCCUUCACUCUGGGACAAGCCCUGGAAACGGGGUCUAAUACCGGAUAACACCUGCCCGGGCAUCCGGGUGGGUUAAAAGCUCCGGCGGUGAAGGAUGAGCCCGCGGCCUAUCAGCUUGUUGGUGAGGUAGUGGCUCACCAAGGCGACGACGGGUAGCCGGCCUGAGAGGGCGACCGGCCACACUGGGACUGAGACACGGCCCAGACUCCUACGGGAGGCAGCAGUGGGGAAUAUUGCACAAUGGGCGAAAGCCUGAUGCAGCGACGCCGCGUGAGGGAUGACGGCCUUCGGGUUGUAAACCUCUUUCAGCAGGGAAGAAGCGAAAGUGACGGUACCUGCAGAAGAAGCGCCGGCUAACUACGUGCCAGCAGCCGCGGUAAUACGUAGGGCGCAAGCGUUGUCCGGAAUUAUUGGGCGUAAAGAGCUCGUAGGCGGCUUGUCACGUCGGGUGUGAAAGCCCGGGGCUUAACCCCGGGUCUGCAU
RNAcentral lists this ribosomal RNA (519 nucleotides) under Streptomyces sp. 310E08. Its description in RNAcentral is "bacterial SSU rRNA". It matches the Rfam family "Bacterial small subunit ribosomal RNA", at positions 93 to 626 of the family's 1533-position model. The record is from RNAcentral. Lineage: Bacteria; Bacillati; Actinomycetota; Actinomycetes; Kitasatosporales; Streptomycetaceae.